GUUUUAAACAUGGCGAUUAACCCAACUUGAACAAAGGAACAAAGAGUAACACAUUUAAACUACUAGUGUAACCUGAAAUCAAUUGUGUUACCUACUAUGAACGAAAAUAAUAAAAACAAGCUUAUUGUGAAGAAAAAAACGAAUAAUUUCUAACAGCCCACUGGUUAAUUGAGCUAUGAACAAGAAUACCUAACAACCUAUUGUGAACAGUGAAUAUUUUCUAACAACUCAGUGUGAAAUUGGAGUUAUUAUUAACAACAGACAACCGAACAAAAGAAGUGAGCAUAAAGAAACUAAAGCAAUUUUGCUGAUUGAAACUUACGUACUUACCGCUUAGUGUGAGAAAACAAAUCCAUUCCCAGUGACUUCGGAAACAACAAUCAAAUGAGACCAAGUAAUGGAAAACAUGGAAUAGAUCGACAACCGAGAAAAGGACCAAUGGUUAAGGAAUAAACCGAUGUGUGACAAAGGGACCAAUGAAGGAAGGAUGGAC
Long non-coding RNA from Dalotia coriaria, 493 nucleotides. RefSeq lists it as uncharacterized. The record is from RefSeq and is a predicted model, not a curated record. The transcript is spliced from 5 exons. Lineage: Eukaryota; Metazoa; Arthropoda; Insecta; Coleoptera; Staphylinidae.